UGGAGCAGACACCAGUUGCAGGUAAUUGGGUAAUUACUUGGCAGGGCAGUAUUCAGCUGUAGGUAAUGGGGUAGAUAGGUCCCCUCCCCCUUUCCUUCCUUCCCUUUCUCCUUCCUGGCUGUGAGGCUGAAGCCCCAGGAGUAUGAGAUCUGUUAGGUGCUGGUUUUUCUCAAGACUAGUGGUUGGAGGAUUCCCACUACGGCUGUGCUGCUGGGUCUUUUCCUCAGGUGUUUACUACUUUAGCGGUUUCCAGCAGUGAUCGCUGAGAGGGCACGUUGUUUCAGGCGUGCUGGUAAGUAGUGGAAGUAAGAAGACCUUCGGGUCUAACUAUCCUCCUCCCUUAUCGGUAAGUGUUUGGUCCUCUUUCCCCAGAUGUGGGUUACACAUUUGGUAUAAUUAUUUUGGUGUGGGCUUUACCUUUUUAUACGUAAAGUCGUUACCCUGGCGAUUCACACAGCUCAAUCAUCUUUGAUUUCAGCCCCGAUUCCUGGGCAGAUAUAGGGUUCACAGGUUUUUACCAGAUAUUGGUUUCUACACCCCACAGUGGGGUUUUCACUUGGUUUGGGAUGUUUCUGGAAUAGAUUUAUACUCUGGGAUCCAGACUUCCUUCCUUUGUGGAACUUUUACCCUCCCGAUUAGGGAUAUUAGCUUGCUAUGUCCCAGUAAGUGUUGACAUGGAGUGGCCAGGGAAUGAGGAAAAUUGUAUCAUACUU
Xenopus tropicalis (tropical clawed frog) is the source of this 713-nucleotide long non-coding RNA. RefSeq lists it as uncharacterized. Lineage: Eukaryota; Metazoa; Chordata; Amphibia; Anura; Pipidae. The transcript is spliced from 3 exons. The record is from RefSeq and is a predicted model, not a curated record.